This 1741-nucleotide transfer RNA is filed under the name Numida meleagris (helmeted guineafowl). Its description in RNAcentral is "lncRNA (ENSNMEG00000003876.1)". The stretch from base 886 to 958 matches the Rfam family "tRNA". The record is from RNAcentral. Lineage: Eukaryota; Metazoa; Chordata; Aves; Galliformes; Numididae.
UGCGGUAAAUCAGCCCCUUCUAAGAAGGAGAUAGCUGCUGUGUUAUCACGGCUAGAAAAGGAGGGCUGCCUGGCAACCCCGGAGGCAGUGCUCGAUAAUGGGUUGUGGGAUUCUUUUACUAUGAAACUCGCCCAACGGGUUAUGUCCUCGCCCAAGAAAGAUAAGAAUCUGCUAAAAAACUGGGGACUCAUCCUGGGGGCGUUGAAGGCAGCCAAGGAGGAUAAGGAAACACAGUAUACGGCACAAAAAUGGGUGGGGCUUGCGGGUCGUGCGGGACAGGGUGGCAGUUUGGAAAUGGAAAGGGGGGAGGUGCGGGUGGUUUGCGCUUCCCCCACAGAUGGCCGAGGAUGUUCUCCUGCCACCGAGGCGCCGCCAGAGCUCAGGAACGAUCAACGGACAAUGCCCCCGUCGUUGAAUAAUCCUUAUCUGACUGCCUCAGCUGCCCUGAAGGAAUCCCCACCUCCCUACCCCCGCUGGAAUUUGUAUCCUGCCCUGCCGGACGAGGGUGGGGGAGGGGGUGGCUCUUGUAACAGUUCUCGUGACCACCCGAAUUUGUAUCCUGCCCUGCCAGAUGAGGGUUGGGGAGGGGGCGGCACAACGCUGCCAUAUAAGAGAACUAACAGAGUGGCCAGGGAGGAGGGGAAAGCUAACGCUGCGGCGCGGACAGCAUCCCUCCCCCCGGAACAAUACCAAGGCGGCGGAUCGGCGCUGGCCAACCCCCCGAUGUCAGUCACUGCUGAGGAAUGCGAAGGGGGCGGGACCGAUGAGCGUACUCUGAACGCGGAUUGGUCAGAGAUAGUGCAGGGCUGGACUGCACCACCCACGUCUCCGCCCAUGGAGAUGCCGAGGGUCAGCACUCUGUGGGAUGUACAGAAGUUAGUAGGUGCUGGGAUAGCUCAGUCGGUAGAGCAUGGGACCCUUAAUCCCAGGGUCGUGGGUUUGAGUCCCAUGCUGGGCAUCCCUUCACAAAUAAUGGAAUCCUUUUGUGAUCAGUUAAAGGGAUCGGACCUCAGUUACUCGGACGUGCCAAGCCUUUUUACCAUCAGGAAUGCCAUGGCUGACAGAGCAGCCAGCACACUUGUCUUUACAGUCACAAUAGAUACUUCCUCCUCUGUUAUAGUGGCCAUACAGCAUGCGAAGUCCAACACUACUGUCAUGAGCCUGUCUAGCUAAAUUAAGACUGGCAAUGGCCCUUGCUUUACUUUUCGCUCUACACAGGAGAAGUUAGCCUUGUGGGGAAUUUCUCAUACCACAGGUAUCCCCAGUAACUCUCAAGGGCAAGCCAUUGUGGAAUGUGCUAAUCGUCUCCUUAAGGACAAGUUAUGCGUCCUUGGGGAGGGGGAAGGAUACAGGGGGAAGACACCUGUCAGCAGGCAAGCUGAGAUACUAGCAAAGGCUCUUUAUGCAUUGAAUUACUUCAAACACGGUAACAACGGAUGAACCCCGACGCAGAAGCAUUGGCAGCCUGAGAUCAUAAGUGAGAGACUGGCCCUAUGUGGGUUCCAGCACGAUACAUUCGGCCUCAUCUCAAGGCAGAAAAUAAGUGGGAUUGUAUGUUUCUUGCUUAUUGGCAUUGUUUCAUGAUUUGUUGGAUUAUGGAUACUAUAGUGUGUGAUGAAAAAGGCUGCACUACUCACUGGAUGGUAUUAUAAUAACAACCCUAGUAAUGUAUGGUGAAGCAGGUGUUUUUCCUGUGUUAGCCAUGCAGCCUCAAGAAUUAGGAUUAUUAGGCAUAAUUUAG